This 301-nucleotide ribosomal RNA is filed under the name uncultured bacterium. Its description in RNAcentral is "partial 16S ribosomal RNA". It matches the Rfam family "Bacterial small subunit ribosomal RNA", at positions 509 to 807 of the family's 1533-position model. The record is from RNAcentral.
CAGUCGCCGCGGGAAUAUGAAGGGUGCAAGCGUUACUCGGAAUUACUGGGCGUAAAGCGUGCGUAGGUGGUGGUUUAAGUCCGUUGUGAAAGCCCUGGGCUCAACCUGGGAAUUGCAGUGGAUACUGGGUCACUAGAGUGUGGUAGAGGAUAGUGGAAUUUCCGGUGUAGCAGUGAAAUGCGUAGAGAUCGGAAGGAACAUCUGUGGCGAAGGCGACUAUCUGGGCCAACACUGACACUGAGGCACGAAAGCGUGGGGAGCAAACAGGAUUAGAUACCCCGGUAGUCCCUGUCUCUUAUAC